Molecule: long non-coding RNA, 351 nt
Organism: Malania oleifera
Lineage: Eukaryota; Viridiplantae; Streptophyta; Magnoliopsida; Santalales; Ximeniaceae
Exons: 2
Source: RefSeq, a predicted model, not a curated record
GGAACUCCCCCCUGGACUUCCCCGCAAAGCCCACAGCGUUCGAUCAACUCAGCCACAAUCGGUGUUCUGAUCCGAAGAUCCUUUGCAGAGUUGGGUUUCUUCUCGAUUCAGCUCUUACUCGAAGACAAACCUGGCUGGCUUUUCCAUCUCUUUAUUUUUUUAAAGAAUAUAUUUGGGGUUUAUGGGUAAUGAGGAACAUGGUGGUAGAUUUCUUCUGAAGCCGAGUCGAAGAUGAUGCAAAAUUUAUUUCUUUGCUUUUUUAUUAAUGUGGAAAGGAAGAUGAUUUAAUAGUAGAGAAAAAGGAUUCGUGUAUCCAGUUGGUCAAUGAUUUGAUAAAGUUGCAUUUUCCCC